This 82-nucleotide transfer RNA is filed under the name Paragonimus westermani. Its description in RNAcentral is "tRNA-Ser". It matches the Rfam family "tRNA". Rfam says of the family: Transfer RNA (tRNA) molecules are approximately 80 nucleotides in length. Their secondary structure includes four short double-helical elements and three loops (D, anti-codon, and T loops). Lineage: Eukaryota; Metazoa; Platyhelminthes; Trematoda; Plagiorchiida; Troglotrematidae. The record is from RNAcentral.
GUCGCGAUGGCCGAGUGGUUAAGGCGUUAGACUUGAGAUCCAAUGGGGUUUCCCCGCGCAGGUUCGAACCCUGCUCGCGACG